UACGUAGGGAGCAAGCGUUGUCCGGAAUCAUUGGGCGUAAAGCGCGCGUAGGCGGCUCGAUCAGUCUGUUGUGAAAGUCAAAGGCUCAACCUUUGAAUGCCGAUGGAAACUGGCGACCUAGAGUGCGGUAGAGGGUAGUGGAAUUCCCGGUGUAGCAGUGAAAUGCGUAGAGAUCGGGAGGAACAUCCGUGGCGAAGGCGACUACCUGGACCAGCACUGACACUGAGGCACGAAAGCGUGGGGAGCAAACAGG
Molecule: ribosomal RNA, 253 nt
Filed under: uncultured bacterium
Lineage: Bacteria
Description: partial 16S ribosomal RNA
Rfam family: Bacterial small subunit ribosomal RNA
Source: RNAcentral